This 492-nucleotide ribosomal RNA is filed under the name uncultured bacterium. RNAcentral describes it as "partial 16S ribosomal RNA". It matches the Rfam family "Bacterial small subunit ribosomal RNA", at positions 28 to 507 of the family's 1533-position model. The record is from RNAcentral.
GGUGAACGCUGGCGGUAGGCCUAACACAUGCAAGUCGAACGGCAGCACAGUAAGAGCUUGCUCUUACGGGUGGCGAGUGGCGGACGGGUGAGGAAUACAUCGGAAUCUACUUUUUCGUGGGGGAUAACGUAGGGAAACUUACGCUAAUACCGCAUACGACCUACGGGUGAAAGCAGGGGAUCUUCGGACCUUGCGCGAUUGAAUGAGCCGAUGUCGGAUUAGCUAGUUGGCGUGGUAAAGGCCCACCAAGGCGACGAUCCGUAGCUGGUCUUAGAGGAUGAUCAGCCACACUGGAACUGAGGCACGGUCCAGACUCCUACGGGAGGCAGCAGUGGGGAAUAUUGGACAAUGGGCGCAAGCCUGAUCCAGCCAUACCGCGUGGGUGAAGAAGGCCUUCGGGUUGUAAAGCCCUUUUGUUGGGAAAGAAAAGCAGCAGGUUAAUACCCCGCUGUUCUGACGGUACCCAAAGAAUAAGCACCGGCUAACUUCGUG